Brassica rapa (field mustard) is the source of this 4826-nucleotide long non-coding RNA. RefSeq lists it as uncharacterized. The record is from RefSeq and is a predicted model, not a curated record. Lineage: Eukaryota; Viridiplantae; Streptophyta; Magnoliopsida; Brassicales; Brassicaceae.
AUAAGUCAUAACAGACAUGAAAUAUAUGUUUAUGUCAGCUUUAAAAAAUAAUAUGUCGCUUAUAAGUGUUUGGGAAGGGAAUCUUGUAAUAAAGGUCUGUUUGUAAUCGGUUUAGCGUGUUUUUUUCCUUCUUUUUUAGGAUUAGCCUGUUAUUCCUUACUAGUUCUCUUUGAUGUUAGGAAGUCAUAUUCAAAUAAUGGCUAUUUUCCGCGGCUCGUCCUUGUCUCCUCCAGCCUUCUUUCAUGUGAUCUAUUGUGCUAUGCGUGACAGGCUCUUGUCUUUCCCCUCAGCGACUGUGUCUUCUCUGUCUCUGCUUCAGCUAUAUUUUUGGUUCAUCUCUCCUUAUAGUUAAUUGUGUCUUUCUUCUUGUUCUCUCUUGUAAUAAGUGGUUUGCCAAAAACCAUGUAAAAUUCAAAAAAUGGGUAUGAAUCUUAACAUUUACAUCCAAAAAAAUGAUGGCUAUCUAGAUUGUUGACUUUUUUUUAACGAUAUUUAUUAUGAUCUUACAAUUAUGAUAUGAGAAAGACAAUGAAUGGUAGCUAAGGUUUUUGACCAAGAAAAAAAAACUCAGACAACAAAAAUUAAGAAAAUUAUUUUUAAAUUAAUUAACUAAAUUUUUAUUUCUGUUAAUCUACAUUGCAACUAUACACAAAAUGUAUAAUAACAUUUUUUUGAAAAAUUAGUAUUAUAUAUAAUUAGUUUACCGAUUCUUAUUCUUCUCAGAAUUUCUCAGUGCAAAUCUCUUAUCAAAAUUCUCUAACCGGGAUGGACCAUUAAGCGUGGUGCAUUUAAAAUAGAAAAUUUGCUAUGUAUUAUUUUUGGUAAAACAAUUGGUAGGCACGAGCGUUUGAGUGUCCAACCAGUUCAGUUCAGAGUUAAUUCGGAUUCAGAUUUUUUGGGAGCACAAAUUUAGUUUUAUUAGGAUAUUAUAAAAGUUUGGUUCGGGUUUAUUCUGUGUGGUUCGGAUAUAUAUUAACAUAUUAUAACCCGGUUGAACCCGUUUUAAAUUCGAUUUUGGUUAUAAUUUGGGUUUUAAUUAUCCAUAUACUUAUUAUGACUCGAAAAUACAUAUUUAAGUUUUCAUCAAUUUCAACAAUCUAACAAUACUAAAAGUUAAAUAACUAAAGCAGAGAGAGUGUCCACGUAAUCAAAUUAAAUCGACCAAUAGGAAACCGUUAUGUAGCCACGUCAAUAAUUUCCAAGACCGAAGACAGUUAUUUCCCAGUUCUCUGAUUCAACGUGACCCACUUUCAUAAAAACCCAUCACUUGGCCCAACUGCUACGAUAGGGAUCACCGACUCUUCUCUUCACCUUCUUCAAUUCUGUAGUCUCUGCAAAUUGCCAUUAAGUUGAAAUUAAGUCGACCCACUCUUUCACAUUUAAUAAGUUUCAUUACUCCUUACAAAGUCAGAGAUGUUAGCGUUCCCACUCUCAUUGUUCUUUGUUUAUAUAAACUAUACUUCUCUGAAUCUCAUCUACUGUGUAUUCAAAACCCUUUCCUCUUCCUCUCAGCUGAAAUCUAUUCAAUCGCUCACACGCACACACCUUUAGGGUUUCAAUUUCGAUUAAAGUACAAACGGAAACACAUCCUUUGAUUCGUCUUCGGAAUGCUCUGAGAUUGUCGUCCAAGUUGUAGAUCUCAAGCCUAUCAGCAAUCGAUAUACGUAAGUUUCGAACUUUUGACUAUACAUCAGUGUUCAUCCUCCACUGACACCAUCUCUGAGUUCACUAAUUUCAUCAAUAAAUUGGAUUGUAGUUUCACAAUCGUCUAUGAUUCCAUGGUAUCGAUCUGCGUUUACAUGUUUUCUUGUGGUUUACAUGUUUAGUGCGAAUGAUGGAAAGACGAAAGUGAAAGCUAUGUUUACAGCUUCACUAACGCAUUAAAUCAUUCCUGGGAAGAUCCAGAAUCUAAGUCUGAUUCAUCUCCUCAGUUUCACUGUUAAUGACAUCUCAAGCAAAUCGACAACGUAAGGAUCGUCUCUGCUGAUUUAACACAUUUUCCUCAGAUUAUUGAAAACUAACUGUUGUUAACGUCUGUGUGAUUUCCCUGCAGAUAUUCGAUGUCUGCUUUGUUGUUUUCUUCACUUAUUGGUUGUAGCUCAGAUAAGAAGAUAUGGGAUUAUUGCAUUGAUUUUUUAUAAGAGGUGGCUAUAUUAGAAUAGGUUGGCUUAUUUUUAAAUGUUAUCAUCAUUAUGAUUUUUGUCUCUGAUAUAUAUGUUUUUAUUUUGAUAUAUCAGCCACUAACCUACAACACAAUGCAAAAGCUGUGGAAUCUACGAGGAGAGACCACUUUUAUAUAUGAUUCAUUUGACGAAUGAGAGUUUUGUCCCUCUGAUUUCACAGCUGAGAGUAAAUACGUACACGUCAAGGACAACAAAUUCAAUGCUACUUUUCUCUGCCAUGGAUGCCACACAAGUUGGGGAUGAUGAAGCAUCCAUCCAUGAAGUUUUCCUGGACAGUUUGUCUUGAAGUUUUCGUUGCCACACUGAAGACUCUCCAACUAUUGAGAGAGAUCUUUCUGAAGGCUCUAUCGGUCCCCAUGGACUGCAACAUUUUCCAGGCUAAUCAAACAUGUAGGCACAGCUGAACGUGCAAACUCUAGCACGGCUCUAUUGUUGUUGUUUCUCUCUUCUACUUCAGAGCAAAAUGUAUACUCCUUUGGCGAGGGGGCUUUCGUUUCGGCAAGAUUGCUCAACUUUCUUCUUAGUAAAAAUGGUACACAGUAGGUAGAUUUGUUCACUUUCCUCUCUUUCUGAAUCUUGAAUAAAUCUGUCUUAAAUACUAAACUCAGUUGUUGCAUAGUUUGAGAGUGAGCUAAGUUUACUUCUGGCUAAUAUACAUGUUAAUGUUUGAAUCUCAUAUUCAAUGUUCAUCACUUCCUCUCAUAUAAAUAUGGAAACUUGGAGUAUCUAAACAUGGCCAUGGGAUUUCCACCAGUAUUUUAAAUGGUCUUAUUUGCUAUACCUUGGCUGGAUACUUAUCACAUUGGAAAGAGUGGUUGGAUGACCCUGACACCAAUACCAUGAUAUGACAAUAGGUUAAUUUAUUACCAAGAAAAACUCACAUUCUUACGGAGAAAUAUGUUUGUUUAGAGCAGUUUGAAAUUUAGAUGGCUCAAGGAUAUGAAUUUUACAUGCAUGCAUGUGUACAUUAGUGUGAAAGAGGGACAUGGUGAUGAACCAAAAAUGCCUUCAUUCUUGACUUUGAUACCACUCUAAAGUAAGCACGCACUAAUGUACUUUAAAGAUUUCAAUAAGCAAAUAUGUUUUUGACACGAUCCAACUUCUUAGGUGGUUACGCCCUUUCUGAGCCUUAACUCUAUUUUCACUGGAAUGUGUUUAUCUUUCUUUUUUGUGCAUGGAAUGUGUUUAUCAUAUAAAAUGAUUUAUGUUUAUAUUAGUUUCUGUCCCAAUGACAAAGUGUAUUCCAACUACGUUAGUAAACAUAAGAGUCACUGACUUGAUAUAGAUACAAAAAGGUCAAGAAACAGAACAAAUUAACCAUAUAAGAAGAAAGAUUUAGAAAUUGUUAAACUCCACUAACCAAAAGCUCUCCAGCUUCUCAAAUAUAAAAAGAGGUAUCAAUACGAUAUGUGAUUUAUUAACACAUGUUUUCCUUGACAAAACUUACCAGAAUGUAUAAAUAAAAAUGAUUUGUACUUUGCUAGCUUAAAACCUUAAUUACAUCAGUACCAAAUCAUAUCAUGAACCAACAGUCCACACCAAAACCGAAUAGUUUAGUAGCAAGAAAAUAAGUUAUAUAUUUACUUUAAAAAACUAAUGAGUCACAAAAAAUUGCUCUAAGAAAACGGUUGGAUCAGUUCUCAAACCUAGGUCAUUACUCAUUAUAUCGCUGCACUAAGUUUUCUUCUUGCUUAUACUAAUAUUAUAAAAUCAUCAUACAUAUUUAAAAUGUAUUCUGGAUAAUGAUAUUUUGGUAUAUUAUUUAAGUUAGUAAUAUAUGUACCUCUAACUUAAAAAAAUAGAGAGUAAAAUAAAUAGUUGUAUUCUAAUAAAACUUGGGCGUAAGGAGAUUUUGCUUUAUUAUAUUAUCUCUGUUUCGUAAAAAAAUAUAAGUGAAAAUAAUUUAAACAAAAUUCUAUUGGUUACUUAAAAUAAGAAAAGAGAAAUUAAAUGUAUAAAUCACAUUGGAAAUAUAGAAUGAUAUUCUAUUUGAAACAAAAUAAAAUCAUAAAAUGACAUUCUGUGUGAAACAAAAGAUUGUAUGUUAGUAAUUUAUGUGACUGACGUGACCAUAUUUGAUAUUUUUGUUUCAGACUCAUUUCAUUCUGCUAGAGAACACGAUGCAAAAAAGGCGAGAUAGUAGAUGUGGAGGAUGCAAAGUACUAGCUGAAUAAAGCAGGUUUGUUAGAAGAUGAAAUUACAGUUUUGAAGAGGCAGCUCAUGUCCCCAAUGUCUACCACAGUUACAUCAAAAGAUGGUGCAAGAAAAUUGGGGUUUGUGAGCCGGUGACAUGGAAUGUGGAAGGUACUGAAUUUCCUGAAGUGUGAUGGUGAAUUUGUUGAAGAAGACAAAGUAGUGAUUGCUCAUAAAGAAGUCCAUGAGGCUGUAUUUGGAGGAUGUGCCAGAAAGAGAGAAGAAGACGGUAAAGAAGCAAAAGAAGAUGUUGAAAAUGGUAGCCAAGGCUUUGGGUGCGCUAGAGAGGACAAAGAGACACAAACUAGCUCAGUGAGUAAAUCAUGUCGAAAAAUUACUUGUGAUAUAGUUUGGAAUUGUAAUAUGCAGAACAUGAUCAUAUUAUUAUCGUGAGAAAUUAUGUACUUGUGUUUUGUCUCAAUUCCAUCAUGUUAGUUUAUUGCGGUGUUC